This is a long non-coding RNA of Thalassophryne amazonica, 98 nucleotides long. RefSeq lists it as uncharacterized. The record is from RefSeq and is a predicted model, not a curated record. Lineage: Eukaryota; Metazoa; Chordata; Actinopteri; Batrachoidiformes; Batrachoididae. The transcript is spliced from 3 exons.
AUUCAAACAGGCAGGUAAAUCAGAAUUGUAUUUUUUGCCAUGUAAGUUCUCACAUACAAGGAAUAUGAUCUGGUGUUGGUGCAUAAACAUUAGUAAAA